Molecule: ribosomal RNA, 576 nt
Filed under: uncultured bacterium
Lineage: Bacteria
Description: bacterial SSU rRNA
Rfam family: Bacterial small subunit ribosomal RNA
Source: RNAcentral
CCACGGGAGGCAGCAGUGAGGAAUAUUGGACAAUGGGCGCAAGCCUGAUCCAGCCAUGCCGCGUGCAGGAAGACGGUCCUAUGGAUUGUAAACUGCUUUUGUACAGGAAGAAACACUCCCUCGUGAGGGAGCUUGACGGUACUGUAAGAAUAAGGAUCGGCUAACUCCGUGCCAGCAGCCGCGGUAAUACGGAGGAUCCAAGCGUUAUCCGGAAUCAUUGGGUUUAAAGGGUCCGUAGGCGGUUUAAUAAGUCAGUGGUGAAAUCUGGUCGCUCAACGAUCAAACGGCCAUUGAUACUGUUAGACUUGAAUUAUUAGGAAGUAACUAGAAUAUGUAGUGUAGCGGUGAAAUGCUUAGAUAUUACAUGGAAUACCAAUUGCGAAGGCAGGUUACUACUAAUGGAUUGACGCUGAUGGACGAAAGCGUGGGGAGCGAACAGGAUUAGAUACCCUGGUAGUCCACGCCGUAAACGAUGGAUACUAGCUGUUCGGAGCAAUCUGAGUGGCUAAGCGAAAGUGAUAAGUAUCCCACCUGGGGAGUACGUUCGCAAGAAUGAAACUCAAAGUGAAUUGACGG